UGAACCACCACUUCCACCUCUUCUUACAACAAGUGGAAAAUACUGUUAACUCUAAUAUUACUACAUAUCUCUCGGUUAAACAUGUUGAUGCUUUUGAAGAUUCCCUAACACUUUAAUAUUUUGGAUAAGAGGAUGUAUUGAUAAUAUUCAUUUUUCUGUUUCUAUUAAUGAUGCUUUUUGAAAGUUUUUUAGUUUUACUUUUGGCUUAAAAUUGGGUUGCCUGAUGUCAAUUUAUUUAUUUUGUGUUGUGAUGGACGCCCUCUCUAAUAUGUUGGAUGAUUCUACCUUUAUUUUUUUCUUUUGAAGAUUCCAAAUAUCAUAAAAAAUUUGUGACGCGGCGGAGGCGACGACGCAUCGACGAACAAGGAAACGCGGGUUGCAGGAAUUGGCAGCCCAUGCAUAACCCAAGAACUCAUUGGGAGGGGAUCACCACCUGAAAUCCUUCAGGAUACAGAAAUCCAAAACAACUGAGUAAAAGAACUCAAAUAUUAUUCAUCUUCCAAUCUCUCAUUACAAGUAUUGGUUACAAGUAUUUAUAGACAUGUAGCAAUAAAAGGCUACAUGCCAUCAUAAGGAAUAUUAUAUUUAUAUAGCCAUACAAACUGUCUAAUGAAAUCAAACUAUCUUGAAGUUAAUAGAAUUAAAUAGCUCAGCUCUGACGUUAUACUACUUGGGUAGGAGGAAUUUUAUACUCAUAAGAAGUUGUUCGGUUGCCUACCAUAAUAAGGUGGGUUUGGUUGGUUAUAACGAUAUCGAUAUUUUCACCUGGUGUCAAUCUUGCAUUUAGAACAAACAAAAAUACGGUUCACUAUUGUCUCCAUUUGCCAACAUACAUCACAUAAUAAUAUAUUUUCCUCCGCUUCAUUAACUUCACCCAAAUAUUGAUUGACAAAUACCAUAUCCCAUCGUUUUUUCCUGAAUGCAUCAAACUCUGGAGAAAGAUGGUUGAUCAUCCUAUUAACCAACUCUUCACAUGAAUGCUUGAUUGAAACAACCCUGAAAUUUGUGAUGACAUCAAAUGUAUUUUGAAGAGCAUUUCCCUUAUUAGUGAUGGCAAGCACAUUAAUUGCCUUAACAGGAACAAUAUGCAUGCAUAACUCCGGCGGUGCAUCCAUCUUGCUCUAGUUAUGGUCAUACAUCGGCUUAUCAAAAUCAAGAACUUCAAAGAACAUGUCGUCAUCGUACACGCCAUAGACGGGCUCUCAUCGUAGAGAGGUAAAGACGACGAUGUCCGUAACGGAUCUUCAAAUUCUUUGAAGCUGAAGUCGAUCAAGGUUGGGGUGGAGGUGAUUUGAUCAUCUGAAAUGCCCUCGUCGUCGUCGUCGGAUCGUAAGGAUUUAGUUGGAACGAAGUAUCUUGAUUCCGUAAUGGGAGCAAACUUGCCCCGUAGUUGGACGCCAUUAAAGUCCUAGGCAAGGGGGCUAAAGUCUUUCCUUCAUUCAAUCCUCAAAAAUUGUAGUUUUUGUCGGACAAUUUCUUGUAGGAGAUCUUCGAUUUCUGCUUUAUCGUUACCAAAUCUGUUGAGGCCACAUCUUGCUCUAUAUAGCCGCUGAUUUCUAAGCUAAGAACCAUAAAUUAUAUUAUUAAUGGCUGGAAUAUGUUGGUAGUAGCUAUCCUGAUAGCUGGAAGAAGAAUAAUAGCUCCCAAACUUUCUUGGAAUGAUUCUGGUCUUCCCACAAAGAUUGUCCACUUAUUUGGACGUACCACCCGAUAUUUUUUUUUAUAACAAAGAAAGCAAUCGUCCUACUACCUGGAACGGACCACUUGCCCCGUUUCUCGGAUGAGGCACACGCAUGGACGAAAGUCAUGCCCAGCUUUCUACCGGGACAGACAGCAUGGCUGCCGGCAACGGAAGAACCUAUUUGUUAUUGCCAAUGACGGAAAACCUGGUCGGCACUGACACCUUGCUACUAUUGCUGCAGAAGCGCCUUAAAAAUGAUGGGAGAUCAUCUGCUUGGCAGUAAGACAGCAAAAGAUUAUUGGGAUUAUUGAACUAGACGGUGGACUGCAGCUAAAUAGCCCACGGAAGUUGUAAAGGAGGUAGGCUGCUGUUCUUGAUGGCUGACAUCAGCCUUUGAUGUUUUGGAUGAAAAAACUGCAACCGCCCGUUUCUUGGCGGCCUUGGUGAAAGACAAGCAGCCGGAGAACAAGGAGGCUGUGGUUUGCUGCAAAUGAGGAUUCCACGGUUGGUAGAGGAGAUGGAACGUGCGGCCACCACCUGGAGACAAUCCAUGAUACAUAAAACAAAAACAAUAAGAGCAUACCAAACAUCUUCUUAUGAGCCUGAAAUGCCUCCUACCCCAGUAGUAUGAUGCCGGAGCUGAGCUGUUUAAUUCUAUUAACUUCAAGAUAGUUUAAUUCUAUUAGGUAGUUUGUAUGGCUAUAUAAAUAUAGUGUUCUUUAUGGUGGCAUGUAGCCUUUUAUGUUGCUACAUGUCUAUAAAUACUUGUAGCCAAUGCUUGUAAUGAGAGAUUGGAAGAUGAAUAAUAUUUGAGUUCUUUUACUCAAUUGUUUUAGGUUUCUGUAUCCUGAAGGAUUUCAGGUGGUCAUCCCUUUGGGAGGGGAGAUCUUGGGUUAUGCGUGGCCUGCCAGUUCAUGUAGCUCACGUUUCCUUGUCCGUCAACGCAUCACCGCCUCUGCGGCGUCAGAUUGGUUCUGAUUUUUAAAAGUUUUAUGCUUUAUUUUUAUGAAGAAUUCUGUAAUGGGGCUUGGUUUAAUUUCAUCUGGCACAAAAAUUAACUAUAAGAUAGCCAUCUUUUGCUUGGUUAGCGACUAUGGAAGGUCUUAAAGCCUCUGAUAUUUUGAUCAAAUGUAAUGUUAAUGUACCCCAUUGCAUUCUCAGUAA
Long non-coding RNA from Dendrobium catenatum, 2845 nucleotides. RefSeq lists it as uncharacterized. Lineage: Eukaryota; Viridiplantae; Streptophyta; Magnoliopsida; Asparagales; Orchidaceae. The record is from RefSeq and is a predicted model, not a curated record. The transcript has 2 exons.